GUGCUCGUAGCUCAACUGGAUAGAGCAACGGCCUUCUAAGCCGUAGGUCGCAGGUUCGAAUCCUGCCGGGCAUGCCA
RNAcentral lists this transfer RNA (77 nucleotides) under Achromatium sp. WMS3. RNAcentral describes it as "tRNA-Arg". It matches the Rfam family "tRNA". From Rfam's summary of the family: Transfer RNA (tRNA) molecules are approximately 80 nucleotides in length. Their secondary structure includes four short double-helical elements and three loops (D, anti-codon, and T loops). Further hydrogen bonds mediate the characteristic L-shaped molecular structure. tRNAs have two regions of fundamental functional importance: the anti-codon, which is responsible for specific mRNA codon recognition, and the 3' end, to which the tRNAs corresponding amino acid is attached (by aminoacyl-tRNA synthetases). tRNAs cope with the degeneracy of the genetic code in two manners: having more than one tRNA (with a specific anti-codon) for a particular amino acid; and 'wobble' base-pairing, i.e. permitting non-standard base-pairing at the 3rd anti-codon position. Lineage: Bacteria; Pseudomonadati; Pseudomonadota; Gammaproteobacteria; Thiotrichales; Thiotrichaceae. The record is from RNAcentral.